Molecule: long non-coding RNA, 361 nt
Organism: Dreissena polymorpha
Lineage: Eukaryota; Metazoa; Mollusca; Bivalvia; Myida; Dreissenidae
Exons: 2
Source: RefSeq, a predicted model, not a curated record
AGGCUAGCUUCCAUCUUGCUACGAAACAAAGAAACUGACGUUACGCGUUAUUAAUUUAAUAUAAAGUUAGGCGUUUAAUCGAUAAACAAAGACGUAAUAAUUGUGUUUGAAUAUCAAUCGGAAGUACACAUGCAUGUCUUUUGUGCACAGUGUGGUUUUUUAAUAAACAUGACAUAAAUCUAUGUGUUAUUCAACGUAUUGUGUGCGACGAGUUGAAGAGAGGUUUACACGGCUAGGCUUUCCGAGAUAAAUCGUAACGAAAUAGCAGACACCACACAGCGUCUCAUCUGAUUCUACGCUGUUUGCCAAGGCCGAUACUAUAAUGAAUGGAAAUGCACAAACUCAGUAACUGGCAAGCAUA